AAUUUUGGACAGAGGGGGGAACUCUGACCCAGCCAUCCCGCGCGUGUGAUGAAGGCCUUCGGGUUGUAAAGCACCUUUGUCAGGGAAGAAACAACACCGCCUAAUACCCGGUGCCAAUGACGGUACCUGUACAUUACGCACCGGGUAAGUACGUGCCAGAAGUCGCGGUAAUACGUAGGGUGCAAGCGUUAAUCGGAAUUACUGGGCUUAACGGGUACGCAGGCGGCUAGGAAAGAAGGAUGUGAAAUCCCAGGGCUCAACCUUGGAACUGCAUUCUUAACUGCCUAGCUAGAGUAUGUCAGAGGGGGGUAGAAUUCCACGUGUAGCAGUGAAAUGCGUAGAUAUGUGGAGGAAUACCGAUGGCGAAGGCAGCCCCCUGGGAUAAUACUAACGCGCAGGUACGAAAGCGUGGGGAGCAAACA
Molecule: ribosomal RNA, 422 nt
Filed under: uncultured bacterium
Lineage: Bacteria
Description: partial 16S ribosomal RNA
Rfam family: Bacterial small subunit ribosomal RNA
Source: RNAcentral